GCUUGAGCUAGACAAUAAAACUCCUUUUGAUAAUUACAGCCUCGGUGACUCUGUCUCUCUGUCCUGCGGCCUCGUGAAUCUUGAAUAUAGCACUGUAUCUUCUUUGACGACAUGUCUGUUCAAAUUUUUUGCCCACUUGUUUUUAUCUGGUUGUUUUCCUAUUGCUGAAAUUUGAGGGCUUUUAGAUUCCAGAUACAGGACCUUUAUCAGCUGUAUGCCUUGAAAAUUUUUUUCUGCUAGUCUAUGGCUUGUUUUCUCAUUGUCUUAACCCUGUCUUUUGAAGAAGAGAAAUUUCUAAUGUUGAUGAAGUGCAAUCAAUCAAUCAGUCAGCCUCGCUAUGGACUGUGCUUUUGGGGAGGUAUCUAGGGCACCACCAUCUAACUCAAGGUCUCAGAGAUUCCUCCCUUCUGUUCUAGAAGUUUUGCAGUUUAUGCUAUUAUCUACAAUCCAUUUUGCAUUAGUUUUUACAUAUGGCCAUAGGUAUGAAUCUAAGCUUAUUUCUUUUUUUUUGGAUACUAAUGUUGUUUUAGCAUCGUUUCUUGAAAAGGUCAUUUUUUCUGCAUGGCAUUAUGUUUGCACCUUUGUCAGAAACAGUUGUCCACAUAUCCGAGGUUUGCUUAUGGACUCUGUUCAGUUUCAUCAAUGUGUUUGUCUUUCUUUAUGCCAAUACCCUGUUUUGAUGUCUACAGCUUUAUAAAAAUUCUUGAAAGUAAAUGGUAUUAUCCCUCCAAUUUUGCUCUUUUUUUUUUUUUAGAGUUGUUUUAGCUAGAUUCUCUGUAUUUUUGCAUAAAAUUUCAAAUCAGCUUGUCAAUUUCUACAAGAACCCCUGGUUGGGGUUUUGAUUGGUAUUGGAUUGAAUUUAUAGAAUAAUUGGGGAAAAUUUACAUCUUGAUAACAUUGAGUCUUCCAACCCAUCAACAAUGCAUAUAUUUCUCUUACUUAGAUCAACUUUAAUUUCUUUCAGUAAUAGUUUACAGUUUUCCUUAUACAUGUCUAUCAUAUAUAUUUUUUAAAUCAAGAUAUUUGACUUUUUGGGAGGUUCCAGGCCUAUGGCAAUGUUUUAUAAAAUGUCCCACUUUCUGGAUUUGUCUAUUUUCUCCUAAAUAAAUAUAGGUCAAAUGUAUUGGUUAGGAGUACUUCACAGGUGGUAUUAAAGGCAUCGAAGUGUCAAGAUGUCCUACGGCCUACAACGUCAAUUGUCCUACUGCUAAAUCUGAGUGUGUGGUUAAGGCGGUGACUGCCAGAGCUCACCGCGAUGAAGUGAGAGCGUACCUUCGUGACUGGAAAAUGAUCCAGGGCUGAUACACUGAGACAACAUUAUUUUGGAAAGGUAAACCAUAAAGUUUUAUUUGAUACUAUUCUUUUGCUUAUAUUCUAUAUUUCUAUAUUUUAUUUAGAGAUUUUGUUAUAUAUUUUGUUUUUAAUCUAUACUCUCUCUCGGUCAAUGGAAUUCCAAUUUUUCUCUGUAGAUUAGAAAGCGGAUGUUGCCACUUCCCUCACCCUCCCUCCUCUGAAAUAGAUGACGCUCCAGCAGGGAAUGCUCGCCUAGGCCGCGGCACCCCGUGCACGGGGUGGUCGAGCUGGCGGUGGGAACGAAUCUGAAGGAACCUGGGACGAGCUCCCAAGAGAUCCGUAUAGGGCAACAAAGUCCUCUUCUCUCACCUCUCACGGUAUUGACCAUACAAAUUCUGUUCUGGUCUCAGCGUGAUUUUUGUCACUGUGGAGCCAGCCAGGUUUUGAUCAGUUUUAUAGGUUGGUGAUAAGCUCUGAACCAACCUGUUUUGUAGGUCCUCAAUCAGCAUGAAACAAAAACAGGUGCCUCACUUACGUAAUGGUGUGUGCUGCCCGUGAACAGAUGUGCUUCUGAUAGGUGAUCGCUUGCUUUCCGGACAGAAGGUAUUAUAUUUCAUGCCUUGUGGGGAGAAUUCCUGUCUAUUGAGAGACGUAGCCCUCUGCUGGGCUUGGUGCUAUAGGACUUUGCUUUAAAACAGUGUAGCCAUUAUUGGAGUCACAAAAGAUGCGUUUAAGUGAACACUGUGCCUCCUACUUAAUCCAGUGGACACCCUUUUCUCUGAGGACGUCAUCGCCCAUAGGUAUGAAGCAUAUUUCUAUAAAAUAAUAUACGUUUCAACUUUCAGGCUACACUGUGUACCCCACUAUGCAUUGUUUCCUCAUUCCUCUGCAUCCAUGAAAACCUGAGUGAACAAGUUAUUCUGCAAAUUGUAGGGAUGCAGCCAUAUUCAUUUCAGCUCAUGGGGAAAAAUUUGCAAGAUGCAGUAAGUUCCAGCUACCUUAAGUGACAGUUUAACGUAUUUGGCUCACAUCGGAGCUGGUCUUCCGUUACUGACUUGAUAAAUAGGAAUUGCUUUCACUUUUGUAAAAAGUUUGUUUGCAGCUAUCUUAAAAUCUUCACUAAAAAUGCAAAGAAAUCUUUUGUAUAAAUAGUCUCAACAGUAUAUCUGUGUAAAAUGAUAGUGUACUCUUUCAAAAACCUUCAUGCCUUGUUAUCUUUUUACAAAUUACACAAGUAAAAAUCUGAAAUAUAUGUAAAUAAGAAAUGGAUGGGAAAUUGUUAGAAGAGUUCAGAGACUCACAUUGAACUUAUAAGUCAUGUAUUUUAUGCUAUUUGAUGAUUUCAUUGUAUUUGGUGUUUGCCAUUCCGUAGACUAUUCUAUAAACAAUGAUAUGGAUUUUCCCAAGAUACAUUAUUGCUAUUUGCAGAAUCCUUCCCCCCCAACCCCUACCAGAAAAAAAUAUUCCCUUUAAACUGCUCAUGCAGCAUUUUUACAGAGGGCAUCGUUAACUUGUUUUAUAUCAGCUAUCUCUCUAAAAAUUGACUGUGGAUCAAUUUCGGUGGAUUUCAUACAUCUCUGCCCCUGGGAACUGGUGCCGCAGCUAGCUUUCAUUAAAUGUCACGGCUGGCAUGGGCUGGAAAGAUAAGAUGAAGCAAGCCAAAAUCACUGCCAACUUUUCUCUAGGAGAAAGCCUACCCCAUAAUAGCAAUGGACCAGCCUUCAUCUUCCCAGAACUAAAUGGUGCACGUUUCAUGCAAUCAAAUGUUUGUUCUACAAAGUCAAGGGAGGAAUCCUCUACUCAAAAGAUACAUAGUGAGCAUUUAUUUAUUGGGGGGCGGGUCUUAAUAUUGUGGUUUCUAAAUUGGUUAGAAAUUUAUUGAACUUGUUUUAUAAAAUCCACCAUGAGAUCCAACAAGGAUCGAUGCUUCAGAGAUUCAUUUAGAUUUAAAAGUGUGGUUAUAUGGAUACGUACACACAUACACGUUCUUCUUUUAUGCAGCCAUAAGGAAUGCCUUUUUGAUGCCCAUGAACUUGGCAAUUAUAGAGAAACACACCACAAAUAGUGUUUUUCGUAUAAGAAUACUGGCUGGGUAAUUAUUUUACAGUUAAAGUCUUCAGUGAUCCAGCAAGAGGGGAGAGACAUACCUGGGAGCAGAAUGGUGUCUCUCUAAGCCUAACUUAGUUGCUUAGUUGGAGAACUGAGUGUUUCCUGAUCAGCCUUGUUUGCAUAUUGAGAUCAGGGCUCCUGUUCUCAUUGGCCAGGAGUGUUUCUCAAGGCCCAGCUAAGUCUCAGGUUUUCCUGAGUUUCCCAGGCAGAGAAUGGUUUUCCCUCUGCGAUCAUCACUACAAUUGUUGAUGGAACGAUUAUCUCUGCACACUGCUAAUCCCAGCCGCCACCAGUCUGUACCGUGAGGGUCUCCAGUACUUAAGUGAUUUAUUCUGAAAGCCCAACCCCUUUUAUUAAUGGCUAGCAAAGUGUUGGACACUCACUCAAUGUUUAUUUGGGGAAAAAACAUGAAUUCUAUUACAUUUUUCUCUUUGCCUCGAUGUUUUAUGACUCUGCUUUUCUUGCCUGUUAACUAAGAUAAAAUGAAAACCCUCUCUCCUCCUCCAAGAGCAUGUUGUAGCUGCUUUAAUACUUAUAUUUUUCUAUGGACUGGAUUAGGUAAAUAUAGCAACACACUUGCACAGCACAGAUGAACCCCGCCCAGAUGUGUACAUCUGGGUUUAUGUCUGAUAAUAUCCUCAUUAGAUUUCUACCCAAAGAAGUGUUGGGACAUCACAAAGGUAUGACUGAAAUAAUCACCAUUUCUUGAUUACGUUCCUUCUUCCCUCCCCCAGUUCUGUUUUCUUAACAUUUUAUUUUCUCACUUGGAGAACUGCAGUGAGAUUAGGAGGGACUCUAGGAUAGUGCUACCACUGCAACAAGGGAGUUUUGCACUCCGCAUCUGUACCGUGGGCGUCUUUCCCGUCAGAGUGGGCAGGAGACGUGGGAAACAGAGUUCACUGUCCUGAGCACAGAGUUGACAUUCUCUUGGCACUCAUGACCUGGUCAACCACAUUAGCUCGUAUGAAAACACUGUGGUUUUCUGCUGUCGAUCUCAGGAUAUCUUUAUACUUCACUCAGAGUCAAUACUUAUUCUGUUGUCAGUAAUGUAAGCGUUCAAGUGGCCAUUGCUGAUGUUUAUUUCAUUUACCAGCUCAAUUGUUAGGGAAUGACGCCCAUUUUAAGUGAUCUCAUAUUUUAGUUGAUGAUAGGAAUAUUCUGAUAUUUUUUUUAAGGCACAGUCUGGAAGCUCCUAAUUGUUUCCUUUGUUUUUCUAGGACCUCUUCUUGACCUCCUUUUGUGUGUGUGUGUGUGAAUGCUUCGCUUUUCAAAGGACAUCCCAGAGGUAGGUGGCAAUUUCCACUUUUAAGUGGAGGCACCGAGUAGCUUGAGACUCAGGUAUAAAUGACUGCUCACGUCUGGAGAGAUGGUGUUGAAACUCCCUGCCACCAGGUACAAAAAUCACACCACCUGCUUGUUCUCUGUCUGUUACAGCAUACUUUGCAUGUUCUAGGGAAUGCACAUUUAAUUACAAACACAUGGGAUUUAAUUAAUGGGUCACAUCACAACCACAUCUAGAGUUAGAAGGCCACCAGACGAUAGCUCUUCAAGUUGCUAUCAUAUGCCAAGCCCUAUGCCAGGUGCUUUUACAUUUAUUAUCAUCACUUUAAACCAACUGCAGUGAUGUCAUCAUUCUCAUAUUGUGGGGUGGUAUAUACAAGGAUAUGAUCACAUGGGCCCCAGAUCUGCUCAUUGAAUGAUAAAUCAAUGCAUUAUUUUUGUAUUUUUCCACAUCUAAAACUUCUGGAGAGGGCAAGGAUGACCAGAUUUCUGUUUAGGGUGAGAAGGCAUUUCCCCAUGGUGCUCUGGGGAAGCAGAAUGUCAUCGUGGUUUCCUUCUCGUCACGAAACCCUCAGUGUCUGGCAGCCUACUCGGAUGCCCCUGUGGCCGAAGGGUCGCAACUGGUCAUGAGCUUGUCAUCAGCCAGACUCGUUUGUUCCAGUGGAUCAGUUUGCAGAACUAGAGACAACUGUGAGGAGGGACCUCGUGUAAGAAGUCUCGAGGCCCCUUCAUUCAUAAACAAGACAAAGGGCGGUACAGAUAGCCCUUCGGAGUGGCGACACUAAUCACCGAGACAGCACAGGGCUAAAGGUGCCACCCACCGGAUGCGGAAGUGAUCGGGGAGGCCCGUUCUGGCCAUUUGCAAAGACGUUCGUGCGGGGCUUACCAUGCAACUGCAUGAGCUCGGAGAAAGGGACCAGAAAUGAGCAGUGCAGAGGACACGGGGAGAGGCCCUCAGGCAUCAUCUUGUGCCACGUCCUGCUGCUUCAGGAAUUUUAGCUCGUGGACUUCAAACCCUUGGUUUGAGAAAACGUAUAACCACCACCAAGCUUGGACCCCUCUGAGCCCACCGGCCGACCCUGGGGAGGAUCCAGGCGUGCCAUGACCCCCACUGGGGCCACUCUCCUCCAGAAGGGACUCCUCGAACCCACCGGACACAGAAAGAGCACGUGGAACCAGAAACGGCCAACUGAACCGCGGUAAGAUGGUCCCAGGCCUCACCCCAGGGUCAGACCGUCCUGGGACGAAGGCUGGACGCCUUCUAGGGUGGAAGACGACUGUCAGCUCCUGGGGACCCUACAGCACACCCUGAGAGGGGCAGACAGGCGUCUCCAGAGUCUCUGUGAGUUAGCUUGGAGUAGGGUGGCCCUGGGGCAGGAACUCUAGACGUUCUGCUCUCUGAGCUGUCUGGAACUGGACACCCCGAUCAGGGCCCUUAUACAGAUUCUUGGCUGGAAAUUGCUCAGCGCCUGCCCCCCUGCCACCACCAGCACCCCCUCCCGAGGCCUGGUGACACCGCAGAAGCGCCUCCGGCAGCUCACGUGAGGUCGGAAGCCGACCCAGCUCACGCUGGGGCAGGACCCCAGCCCUUCUCUACCACCGGUCUCUUGCAGGGGAAGUAGCACCCUCCUUCACACUCAGGGAAAACGGCCGCGCCCCCUCUCCACGGGCCGGCCUUGCAUGCUGACGCCCGCGGCCAGGCCUGCGCUCAGCCACGCGAUCUUGAUUGGGUGCUUUUGAGUCCUGCCAAGGGCAUAAAAACGGGAGGACAACAAGGAAGGGGUCAGAAGGUGGCUGAGCCUGCUGGAGGAAUAAGGGCUGUUCUCCGCCUCUUCGGCUGCCGCUCGGUUCUUCCCCGGUCCAGGGCGUGACACAGCUGUGCGCCUUGCAGCAACACGAGGCCAGGAUCGACCUGCUGCAGAGCAUCUGCUGGACCCAUCAACCCCCUUGAGGGGGCCGUCAGCAGCUCUCCCGACCUGCUCAACACGGCCCGAGUCGUAGCAGGUGGCGUGGGCCCAGCCUAAGUUCCAGACGCUGUGCCUGCUUGGGACUCUGACACUCCAGAAGGAUGAGGGGCGCCCACCGAGAAGCCCUCCUGGAUGGGGCCGAGAAGGAGCAAGGAAGCCCACUGACACGAACACAGUGGCUGUGGUCGCCCAAAAGGCCGACGAAACUCCCAGUGAUUUCUACGAAUGUCUGUGCGAGUCCUACCGAAUUUACAACCCCCUUUGAUCCCGAAACCCCAGAAAAUCAGCGAACGGUGAACGCUGCCUUCAUGGCUCAGGCAUGUCCAGACAUACAACACGCUGGAGAAAGAAGCUAGAUGCAUUUGCUGGUAUAAAUGUCACCCCGUUAAUGGAAGUGGCUCAAAACCAGGACUGUGGGGCCCAGAGGCCUUGCUCCUGCAUCCCUGCCGGGACACGGAUGGAAAGUCAGGCUGCACAAACAAGAGACCUGUGUGCUUUCUGCAAGCAAACUGGACAAAUGAAUGUCUACACCGGCAACUUCAAAAUAGCUCUUGGAAGGGCUGCAGCCAUAGUGGAGUGGGAACGCAGCUCAUAUCCCAUCUCUGGAGAAGCGCGGCAGGGGAUCCAAGCUCCCCUAGACAGACUUCUGCAGGAAGGCAUCCUCAGAGAGUGCCAGUCCCCAUGGAACACCCCUACUCCCAGCGAAGAAGCCUGAUAGGACUCCACGGGCUGUAAACGAAGCCACCCCUGUCGCCCUCCGUCCAGCAGUGCCCGCCCUACACGCUCCUGAGCCCCGUCCCGUGGUUCAGUUGCCUGGACCCAAGAGACGCUUUCUUCUGCACCUGGGUGGCACCGGCGAGCCAGCCCCUCUGUGCUUUCGACUGGGAAGACGCAGCUCCUCUGGACCAGGCUGCCACGAGGUUUCCAGAACUCCCCGGGGAUCUCUCGGGAAGCACUGGGCGCAGGUCUAGACUCGUCCCCGCGGGGCAGCUCCGCUGCACUCUACUGCAGUAGGCGGAUGACGUCCUCCUGGCGCACAACCCAAGGGGAGUGCACGGUAACGACGGGAAACUCGCCGACAGGCCGUCACACCCCUGGGUCUUAAAAUCACCGAAGGAAGAAGACAGCCCGGGCAGGACGAGUGCAUGCAACCUGCUCCCUCCAAAGACCAAGCACGCGGCAGGAGUCCCUAGGAGCGGCGGGAUCCUGCUGAACAUGGAGACGGGGCUUCGCACCGAUGGCCAGACCUCCCUGUGAGGCCCUGCGGGGCCUCAGACUCGGGAGCCGCAGUGGGGAUCAGAGCGGGAAGACGCCCUGCGAGACCUGCAGAAUCAGCUACAUGGCUCCUGGGCUCACACUAAAGACUUAACCUGUUUGUUGACGAAUAUGACCACGGGACUCGGGCAAAGCCUGGUGGCCUCAGGAGGGCCCUCCUGUUAAGGGCAGUGACGGCGGCAAUGGGCCGCCUUCGCAAAGAAGCUGAAAAGUUCACACCCCACGCACGGCAUCCAACUCCUCGACAACUCACGGCACUGGUGGCCUCUAGCAGCCGGUCAGCGCAGCAUCAAGGGCUCCUCUGUGAUAGCCCACAGAUGAGGCAGAGCGGGCCUUGCCCCCCGCCACCCUCCUGCCCAUCGACCCAGGACCCCCAGAGCAUGAGUGCCUUGAGCUGAUAGAGGAAGUCUACGCCAGCCGGCCAGGACUAAGGGAUACUCCCCGGGCAAAUCCAGAAGUGGAGCUGUUUACAGAUGGCAGCAGUCACGUCCAGGACGGACAAUGGAAGGCAGGAUAUGCAGUCCCAACCAAAGACAAGGGGGUCUUAGCCGAGCCCCUGCCUGCUGGGGGGGGCGCCGCUCAGCAGAGUUAGGGGCCCUAAUCCAGGCACUGAGACGCGCAGAGGGAAAGGAGCAAAUAUGUACACAGAUUGCCACUAUGCGAGGAGCAGCCGGCACGUACGUGGGGCCCUCUGUCAAGGAGGGGGACUCUAGGAGGAAAGGAAGAGAGUUUACCGCUGUUGGAUGUGGGCUAGGAGCCUCAAGAAAUAGCUGCGUCACAGCGUCACAGACACCAGGGAGGAACAGACCCAGAGUCACCCUCGGAAAUCAGUGGGCAGACAGAACUGUAGCAAAGGCUACAGUGGCACAAGGGCCACAGACACAGGGCACAAGGCGCCAGGCUGGUAAAAUUCCCCUAGCACCAGAAGGGCCCAGACGUGCACGGCACAGCCCAGCGUGUGCAAAGAGAGAGCGGUGCGAACAGACCGAGGCAGGGUGGCGGAGUCCGCCCGGUGGCUGGGUCUCCGUGCGAGAGAGUGAGGCUGGCCAGCACAGUCCUCCCCCACCUGCUUGGCCGUUGCAUCCCUAAGCUUCCGUCCAUGGCACCAACCGUCCGUGCCACAAAUAGUGCAGCCCAGGCUGGCCACAGGCAGCCAGAGCAUCUCCCGUUGAAGAUACAGAAGGGGGCUUUUUUGAGCUAAGGAGUGAAAUACCUGUUAGUGACGACCUGCACCCACCCGGGAGGGGUCAUGGACGACCUGUGCCCGCCCGGGAGGGGUGGAGGCAUCCCCGCCCGAACUGAAAGGGGAAGGGGAGUGGUAAAGGUGCUCCUAAGGGAAGUUCUGCCCUGCCACAGGCUGCCACUCUCAAGAGGCAACGACGGCAGGCCGAGCUUCACGGCAGACUUUAGCAAAGCAUUAGGGAUUGAGUGGAAGCUCCAUACGGCAUGUAGCCCCCAAAGCUCAGGGAAAGUACUGCACAUGAACUGGUAAGAUGUGCAACGUGUGGGGGAUGGACACCUCUUAUUCAAGGGGGGGGCAUGGGCAAGAUACGUAACUUUAACACUUGUACCCCCAUGAUACGCUAAAAUAAUUUUAAAAAAACAAAAAAACACCCUCGCAAUGAAGUGCCAGGAAACCGGGCCACCCUGCGUGGCCUCACUCAGAGUCACAUGUUCCCUGGGGCUGUCAGGAUAUUCACCCUUUGCGACUCUCUACGGAAGGCUCCCACCCAUAAUCAGGCUG
Molecule: non-coding RNA, 9669 nt
Organism: Microcebus murinus (gray mouse lemur)
Lineage: Eukaryota; Metazoa; Chordata; Mammalia; Primates; Cheirogaleidae
Source: RefSeq, a predicted model, not a curated record